RNAcentral lists this ribosomal RNA (788 nucleotides) under Paracalliope fluviatilis. RNAcentral describes it as "partial large subunit ribosomal RNA". It matches the Rfam family "Eukaryotic large subunit ribosomal RNA", at positions 99 to 628 of the family's 3401-position model. Lineage: Eukaryota; Metazoa; Arthropoda; Malacostraca; Amphipoda; Paracalliopiidae. The record is from RNAcentral.
AGGGAGAAGCCCAGCGCAUAACCUCUCGGGCCACCCGGCCUGCAGCGGAAUUUUGCGUAAAGGGAACGAUCAUGCAUUCGUGCUCACGCACGGGUGUCUGCCCAAUGGCACAUAGCACUCGACCUAAGUCCAGGGGUGAAACUCUGCCGAGUAACCAGUUUGCUCUACUUCUCCAUGGAGGGUGAAAGACCCGUGUGGCGAGUGCAUAGUGUCUGGGUUUGAUUGUUUUCCCUGAGAGUCGCGUUGCUUGAGCAUGCAGCGCAAAGCAGGACGUAGACUCGUCCUAAGGCUAAAUAUUUCCACAGAACCGAUAGCGAACAAGUACCGUGAGGGAAAGUUGAAAAGGACUCUGAAGAGAGAGUUAAAAGACCGUGAAACCGUACAGGGCAGAGACUGAUGGAUUUGGCUUUCCGGUGGCAAUGAGAGGGAUGCUUGAUGCACCUGUGGUGCCGUCCCUCUCUGUGUGAGGUUGGCUUAUAUGGAAGACAGUGGAAGUGGUCAGUGAGACGAAAGUUUUAUCUUGGCUUGUGACGGUAGUAACACACUAAUGAUGCCAAACGCACGGGGUUUAGGUGUCGGAUGAUGGGUAUGUUAGCUUGCAUGAUUCGCUCUGCAUUCUUAAAUACCUUGAGGCAGUCUUGAGUGCGCAUCCACUUAGAGAUCCACUUACCGUAGCCACCGGAAUGCACCAACGCUUUACGAGGUCAGGGUGCCACGGCUCUCCGAGUCGUGUUGUCUGAGAGUUUCAUGUCUCGUUCUGUAAGGCAGUGAGGUCAUUUUCAUUGUGA